AAGAAUGAAUGGGUGAUUUGCAGGGUGUUUCAAAAGAGUUCUGGUGGGAAGAAGACCCAUAUUUCAGGCCUAGUGAGAUUAGGCUCUUUUGGCAGUGAAUUGGGUCCUUCUGGUCUACCACCAUUGAUGGAUUCUUCACCUUAUAGUAGCAAGACAAAACCUUUGGCUGAAUCUGCCUACGUGCCCUGCUUCUCCAAUUCCACUGAUGUUCAAAGAAAUCAACAAGAAUCCAUUGAUGGUUUCAACAACAAUCCUUUUGCAGUUUCUUCUAGCCCUGCGGAUAUUUAUCCACGAAUUCCACUUCCGAAUUCAUUCUACCCUGCUCAAACAGUCCCAUUCCCAGCAAAUAUGCAGUACCCAGGUUCUGUUUUAAUGCAAGACCAGUCAAUAUUAAGGGCUCUG
RNAcentral lists this unclassified non-coding RNA (402 nucleotides) under Hevea brasiliensis (rubber tree). The record is from RNAcentral. Lineage: Eukaryota; Viridiplantae; Streptophyta; Magnoliopsida; Malpighiales; Euphorbiaceae.